Molecule: ribosomal RNA, 253 nt
Filed under: uncultured bacterium
Lineage: Bacteria
Description: partial 16S ribosomal RNA
Rfam family: Bacterial small subunit ribosomal RNA
Source: RNAcentral
UACGUAGGGGGCGAGCGUUGUCCGGAAUUAUUGGGCGUAAAGAGCGUGUAGGCGGUUCGGUAAGUCUGCCGUGAAAACCUGGGGCUCAACCCCGGGCGUGCGGUGGAUACUGCCGGGCUAGAGGGUGGUAGAGGCGAGUGGAAUUCCUGGUGUAGCGGUGAAAUGCGCAGAUAUCAGGAGGAACACCCGUGGCGAAAGCGGCUCUCUGGGACGGUACUGACGCUGAGACGCGAAAGCGUGGGGAGCAAACAGG